RNAcentral lists this non-coding RNA (28 nucleotides) under Cricetulus griseus (Chinese hamster). Lineage: Eukaryota; Metazoa; Chordata; Mammalia; Rodentia; Cricetidae. The record is from RNAcentral.
GUAAGAGUGAAACAUGAGCCGGGCGUUG